RNAcentral lists this ribosomal RNA (1363 nucleotides) under uncultured bacterium. Its description in RNAcentral is "bacterial SSU rRNA". It matches the Rfam family "Bacterial small subunit ribosomal RNA", at positions 45 to 1400 of the family's 1533-position model. The record is from RNAcentral.
UGCUUAAUACAUGCAAGUCGAGUGAAGGAAAUCCCUGUAGCAAUACAGGGGUUUUUAUUCACGGCGCACGGGUGCGUAACACGUGGGUGACCUACCCUAAGAUGGGGAAUAACCCCGCGAAAGCGGGGCUAAUACCGCAUAACAUUCCGCGACAUUCGGGUCGCGGAUUCAAAGUCUUCGGACGUCUUUGGAGGGGCCCGCGGCCGAUUAGCUAGUUGGCGAGGUAAUGGCUCACCAAGGCAAUGAUCGGUAGCAGGUCUGAGAGGACGAUCAGCCACACUGGAACUGAGACACGGUCCAGACUCCUACGGGAGGCAGCAGUGGGGAAUCUUGCGCAAUGGGCGAAAGCCUGACGCAGCGACGCCGCGUGGGGGAUGAAGCUUCUCGGAGUGUAAACCCCUUUCGACCUAGAAGAAACGCCUCGCAAGAGGAAUUGACAGUAUAGGGAGAAGAAGCCCCGGCUAACUACGUGCCAGCAGCCGCGGUAAGACGUAGGGGGCCAGCGUUGCUCGGAAUUACUGGGCGUAAAGGGUUCGUAGGCGGUGCGGCAAGUCUCGAGUGAAAUCUCCCGGCUCAACCGGGAGGCUGCUCGGAAAACUGCUGUGCUCGAGUGUGGGAGAGGCGCGUGGAAUUGCGGGUGUAGCGGUGAAAUGCGUAGAUAUCCGCAGGAACACCAGAGGCGAAAGCGGCGCGCUGGACCAUAACUGACGCUGAGGAACGAAAGCUAGGGGAGCAAACAGGAUUAGAUACCCUGGUAGUCCUAGCCCUAAACGAUCGGCACUUGAGGUGGGCCCUGUCCGGGGUCCGUCUCGCAGCCAACGCGAUAAGUGCCGCGCCUGGGGAGUACGGUCGCAAGACUGAAACUCAAAGGAAUUGACGGGGGCCCGCACAAGCGGUGGAACAUGUGGUUCAAUUCGACGCAACGCGAAGAACCUUACCUGGGCUCGAAGUACUGCUGACCAUCUGUAGAAAUAUGGACUUCCCGCAAGGGACAGCAGUAGAGGUGCUGCAUGGCUGUCGUCAGCUCGUGCCGUGAGGUGUUGGGUUAAGUCCCGCAACGAGCGCAACCCUUACAUUCUGUUGCCACCCGCAAGGGGGAACUCGGAAUGGACUGCUCCGGAUAACGGAGAGGAAGGUGGGGAUGACGUCAAGUCAGCAUGGCCUUUAUGUCCAGGGCUACACACGUGUUACAAUGCGCGGUACAGACUGUUGCCAACCCGCGAGGGGGAGCUAAUCGGAAAAAACCGCGCUCAGUUCGGAUUGCAGUCUGCAACUCGACUGCAUGAAGCUGGAAUCGCUAGUAAUGGCGUAUCAGAUCGGCGCCGUGAAUACGUUCCCGGGCCUUGCACACACCGCCCGUCAC